RNAcentral lists this ribosomal RNA (616 nucleotides) under uncultured Azospira sp. RNAcentral's name for it is "bacterial SSU rRNA". It matches the Rfam family "Bacterial small subunit ribosomal RNA", at positions 919 to 1532 of the family's 1533-position model. The record is from RNAcentral. Lineage: Bacteria; Pseudomonadati; Pseudomonadota; Betaproteobacteria; Rhodocyclales; Rhodocyclaceae.
ACCCGCACAAGCGGUGGAUGAUGUGGAUUUAAUUCGAUGCAACGCGAAAAACCUUACCUACCCUUGACAUGUCANGGAAGUCCGCUGAGAGGUGGAUGUGCCCGAAAGGGAACCUGAACACAGGUGCUGCAUGGCUGUCGUCAGCUCGUGUCGUGAGAUGUUGGGUUAAGUCCCGCAACGAGCGCAACCCUUGUCAUUAAUUGCCAUCAUUCAGUUGGGCACUUUAAUGAGACUGCCGGUGACAAACCGGAGGAAGGUGGGGAUGACGUCAAGUCCUCAUGGCCCUUAUGGGUAGGGCUUCACACGUCAUACAAUGGUCGGUACAGAGGGUCGCCAACCCGCGAGGGGGAGCCAAUCCCACAAAGCCGAUCGUAGUCCGGAUCGCAGUCUGCAACUCGACUGCGUGAAGUCGGAAUCGCUAGUAAUCGUGGAUCAGCAUGUCACGGUGAAUACGUUCCCGGGUCUUGUACACACCGCCCGUCACACCAUGGGAGUGGGUUCCACCAGAAGUAGGUAGUCUAACCGCAAGGGGGGCGCUUACCACGGUGGGAUUCAUGACUGGGGUGAAGUCGUAACAAGGUAGCCGUAUCGGAAGGUGCGGCUGGAUCACCUCCUU